ACACUACUGAAGAGUCCCACACUAGGGCGAAACAGCCGUCCAGUAC
RNAcentral lists this non-coding RNA (46 nucleotides) under Schistosoma haematobium. Lineage: Eukaryota; Metazoa; Platyhelminthes; Trematoda; Strigeidida; Schistosomatidae. The record is from RNAcentral.